Non-coding RNA from Dipodomys ordii (Ord's kangaroo rat), 35 nucleotides. The record is from Rfam. Lineage: Eukaryota; Metazoa; Chordata; Mammalia; Rodentia; Heteromyidae.
CUGUGUCUUGCUUCAACAGUGUUUGGACGGAACAU